RNAcentral lists this ribosomal RNA (497 nucleotides) under uncultured bacterium. RNAcentral's name for it is "partial 16S ribosomal RNA". It matches the Rfam family "Bacterial small subunit ribosomal RNA", at positions 28 to 507 of the family's 1533-position model. The record is from RNAcentral.
GAUGAACGCUGGCGGCGUGCCUAAUACAUGCAAGUCGAGCGAACGGACGAGAAGCUUGCUUCUCUGAUGUUAGCGGCGGACGGGUGAGUAACACGUGGAUAACCUACCUAUAAGACUUGGAUAACUUCGGGAAACCGUAGCUAAUACCGGAUAAUAUUUUGAACCGCAUGGUUCAAAAGUGAAAGACGGUCUUGCUGUCACUUAUAGAUGGAUCCGCGCUGCAUUAGCUAGUUGGUAAGGUAACGGCUUACCAAGGCAACGAUGCAUAGCCGACCUGAGAGGGUGAUCGGCCACACUGGAACUGAGACACGGUCCAGACUCCUACGGGAGGCAGCAGUAGGGAAUCUUCCGCAAAGGGCGAAAGCCUGACGGAGCAACGCCGCGUGAGUGAUGAAGGUCUUCGGAUCGUAAAACUCUGUUAUUAGGGAAGAACAUAUGUGUAAGUAACUGUGCACAUCUUGACGGUACCUAAUCAGAAAGCCACGGCUAACUACGUG